GUUGUAUACUGCGGUAUGAAACAUAUUCAUUCUUCACACCCGCCCCUCCACCGCCACCACAGCCAAUGCCAAACUCACCGCCGCCACUGGCUACGACAAACGCUCUGCAGCUACCACCGCCACCGGCUACGACAAACUCUCUGCAUCUACCACCGCCUGAAAAUCCUACCCCUCCAGAUGGAAAGAAAAAAUCAUCCACAAGGAUUAUCGCUAUUGCGACAAUUAUUUCAAGUGCAGUUCUUUUACUGGCCGUUUGCCUGUUUUGUAUGUAUAGAAGAAAGACUAGACAGGAAGGAAGGAAUGAUCAAAGCCAUGUAUCACUUAAUCAAACAGAGAGAUCAAAUACUGGGGACAGAAGCAAAACAAAUAGGACAUGGUGGUGUGGGAGGAGAUGAAAAUACGUCAUUGCUCUUUCAUUUAGAGACAAUUGUAGCUUAUACUAACAAUUGUUUUGAAAAAAAUAAGUUGGGAGGAGGGGGGUAUGGUCCUGUAUACAUGGGGAAGUUGCAAGAUGGGAAAAUGGUUGCAGUAAAACGACUUUCAAGCUGUUCAGGGCAGGGUUUAGAAGCGUUCAAGAAUGAAGUUAUCUUGAUUGCCAAACUCCAACAUAGGAAUCUUGUGAGGCUCCUUGAAUGUUGUUUAGAAAGACAGGAAAAACUUCUGAUUUAUGAAUACAUGCCCAACAAGAGCCUCGACACCAUCCUAUUUGGUUUGUAUCCAAACUCUACAUUGAUUUCAUGAUAUUCAUGCACACAUUUGAGGGGAUGAACUCAAGCCAACAUCAUCAAUAUUGUUGGAACAUAUGGUUACAUGCCUCCCGAGUACAUUUUGCAGGGGCAUAUCUCAGUGAAGACUGAUAUCUAUUGCUUUGGAGUUCUGCUAUUGGAAAUUGUCUGUGGGAGAAAGAACAAUGAGCCAUCGGACGGGAGUCAAGGACUAGUAGAAUACGCAUGGCGGUUGUGGCGUGAUGGGAGACUCAUAGAGUUGAUGGAUCAAUCUCUUGGUGAGACAUGCCCACGAAACCAAGUUUUGAGAUUCAUUCACAUUCGGCUUCUUUGUGUUCAAGCAGAUGCUACAGAGAGCCCCCCUAUUUCUUCAGUGGUUGUCAUGUUGGGAAGUGAUUCUUCGAGUCUUAGCUUGCCGAUGCCUCCACCUAUGGUUUUUGAUGAUAGAACCAUUAAAAGGUAAGAUGUAUCUUCAAAUUACACAGAAGGCAACUCUGUAAAUGAGGUCUCAAUUACUGACUUCGAUGGUUGCUAAGCUUAAGCAUUUUGACAUUAACUUUUCAACAGUGUGAUAGAAUGUCUCCUUGCUUUUUGUUUAAAGAAUGUCUCCUUGCUUUUUGUUUAAAAUUUGGAUUUUCUGGUGAUACUCUUUUUGUGAGUUUUUGGGGUGA
Amborella trichopoda is the source of this 1396-nucleotide non-coding RNA. Lineage: Eukaryota; Viridiplantae; Streptophyta; Magnoliopsida; Amborellales; Amborellaceae. The record is from RefSeq and is a predicted model, not a curated record.